RNAcentral lists this ribosomal RNA (517 nucleotides) under uncultured bacterium. RNAcentral's name for it is "bacterial SSU rRNA". It matches the Rfam family "Bacterial small subunit ribosomal RNA", at positions 372 to 884 of the family's 1533-position model. The record is from RNAcentral.
UGGGCGCAAGCCUGAUCCAGCCAUACCGCGUGGGUGAAGAAGGCCUUCGGGUUGUAAAGCCCUUUUGUUGGGAAAGAAAUCCAGCCGGCUAAUACCUGGUUGGGAUGACGGUACCCAAAGAAUAAGCACCGGCUAACUUCGUGCCAGCAGCCGCGGUAAUACGAAGGGUGCAAGCGUUACUCGGAAUUACUGGGCGUAAAGCGUGCGUAGGUGGUUAUUUAAGUCCGUUGUGAAAGCCCUGGGCUCAACCUGGGAACUGCAGUGGAUACUGGAUGACUAGAAUGUGGUAGAGGGUAGCGGAAUUCCUGGUGUAGCAGUGAAAUGCGUAGAGAUCAGGAGGAACAUCCAUGGCGAAGGCAGCUACCUGGACCAACAUUGACACUGAGGCACGAAAGCGUGGGGAGCAAACAGGAUUAGAUACCCUGGUAGUCCACGCCCUAAACGAUGCGAACUGGAUGUUGGGUGCAAUUUGGCACGCAGUAUCGAAGCUAACGCGUAAGUCGCCGCGAGGGAUACG